CGGGAGGCAGCAGUAGGGAAUCUUCCGCAAUGGACGAAAGUCUGACGGAGCAACGCCGCGUGAGUGAUGAAGGUUUUCGGAUCGUAAAGCUCUGUUGUUAGGGAAGAACAAGUACCGUUCGAAUAGGGCGGUACCUUGACGGUACCUAACCAGAAAGCCACGGCUAACUACGUGCCAGCAGCCGCGGUAAUACGUAGGUGGCAAGCGUUGUCCGGAAUUAUUGGGCGUAAAGGGCUCGCAGGCGGUUUCUUAAGUCUGAUGUGAAAGCCCCCGGCUCAACCGGGGAGGGUCAUUGGAAACUGGGGAACUUGAGUGCAGAAGAGGAGAGUGGAAUUCCACGUGUAGCGGUGAAAUGCGUAGAGAUGUGGAGGAACACCAGUGGCGAAGGCGACUCUCUGGUCUGUAACUGACGCUGAGGAGCGAAAGCGUGGGGAGCGAACAGGAUUAGAUACCCUGGUAGUCCACGCCGUAACGAUGAGUGCUAAGUGUUACGGGGUUUCGCCCUUAGUGCUGCAGCUAACGCAUAAGCACUCGCUGGGGAG
Molecule: ribosomal RNA, 542 nt
Filed under: Bacillus subtilis
Lineage: Bacteria; Bacillati; Bacillota; Bacilli; Caryophanales; Bacillaceae
Description: bacterial SSU rRNA
Rfam family: Bacterial small subunit ribosomal RNA
Source: RNAcentral